ACGUGUUCAACUUUUCCUUCAUUGGAGAAAAGCUCUCACAUUGUCACGGCCAAGCAAGGAAAAUACAAUGGUGCACAAGUUGGCUGCAAUUAAAAUUAGCACUUUCCAUUUUUAUUUAAUUGGAUUUUGAGCUGAAUGUGAUCCAAAGGAAGUAAGCAAAGGGGCCCAUGAGAAAUAUAAAAGUGCAGCAGCUUGGAAAAUACCACACGACCCAUUUGAAUCAGCAACACAUCCAACAAAAUAUAUUUUGGAGGUGCAGCCACAUGGCAUGUGGUUUUUAAUUGGAGAAGCACUUAAUUUGGUGAUUCAUUUUCUUAUCUUCUCUUGGAGAAAGAAGAGCGUUGUUGCUACUGAGGGCUGCAUCCGGUCACGUCCAACAAGGAAGUUUCCCAAAGAAUUGGUGAUUCAAUUUCUUUUAAGUGGACAUUGCUUACGGGCUUCAACAUUUAUAGCAUCCAGUUGACACGACCCAAAGAAUGAACAUGCUGCCACAAGGCCCUGCAGACCAACUCCAUUCACGGUCGAGCAUGCUGUCCAAGAGGAGCAUCACAGCCUUGGUCCAACACGUGAAGAGCUGCAACCAUUAUUUUCCUCAUCCAGCAGCUACAGCAACUUGGAGUCCACACGACCUAAGGAGAGCAGGAGCGAUCCAGCAUGGCCUGCACUUAUUUGAUUAUAUCUUCAGCCAGCAACCCACGUAAUAGUAGCUUGGGAAGAAAAAAAAAUCCUGCCUUCAUACCAUCCAACAAGCAUCACGGCCUUGGCCCACCUUCCAAUUUUAUUUGAAGCACACAGCUGCAGCAUAAUCUAGUAACUCACGUUCACCAUGACCACUCACGGCCCAAGCAGGAGCUGGCAGCAACAUUUGGAGAAGAAACAUCUUCACACAGCCUUCAC
This 897-nucleotide long non-coding RNA is filed under the name Vigna radiata. RNAcentral's name for it is "long non-coding RNA (VRAD_LNC014373)". The record is from RNAcentral. Lineage: Eukaryota; Viridiplantae; Streptophyta; Magnoliopsida; Fabales; Fabaceae.